UUAAAGUUUAAUUUUAGCUUAAUAAUUUAUUGAAUAAUUUUUUUUAUAUGAAAAUUUUUGUAAGAAUAAAAACUUAUUUUAAUAAUAAGUAAUAUAUGAUUAAUCUCAGUAUAUAAUUUUAAAUAUUAAAGAAAUUUAGAAUUAGGAAUUUAUGUAGUAUGGACAAAAUUUGUGCCAGCAGUUGCGGUUAUACAAAUUAUACAGUUAAAUUAUAUUAGAAAUAGUUAAAUAAUAAUUUAAAUUAUGAAUAAAUAUAAUUUUUUAGGUGAAAUUUAAAAUUAUAUAAAAAUUAUUUAAAGUUUUUGAAUCUAAGAAAUUUUUUUAUUAAACUAGGAUUAGAUACCCUAUUAUUGAAAAUUAAAUUUUAUUAUUCUUAAUUAGUAUUAGUUAAGUUCUUGAAAAUUAAAAAAUUUGGCGGUAUUUUAGUCUUUUCAGAGGAACCUGUUCUAUGAUUGAUAAUCCACGAUUAGAUUUACUUAUUUUAUAAAUUUAUAUAUCAUCGUAAUAGAAUAUUUUAUAAGAAUAUAUAAUAUUCAUAAUUUACUAUAAUAAAAUAAAUCAGAUCAAGGUGUAGUUAAUGAAUAAGAAGAAAUGGGUUACAAUUAAUUAAUUAUUUAAUAUUAUUUUUUAAUAAGUAAUUGAAAUUGGAUUUGGAAGUAAUUUUUUAUAUAUUUUAAAAAUGAUUAAAGCUCUAAAAUAUGUACAUAUUGCCCGUCGCUUUUGUUUUAAAAUGAAAUAAGUCGUAACAAAGUAGAUUUACUGGAAAGUGAAUCUAGAAACAA
Molecule: non-coding RNA, 782 nt
Filed under: Cleridae sp. 1 KM-2017
Lineage: Eukaryota; Metazoa; Arthropoda; Insecta; Coleoptera; Cleridae
Source: RNAcentral